RNAcentral lists this unclassified non-coding RNA (333 nucleotides) under uncultured Glomeraceae. RNAcentral describes it as "sequence contains 18S rRNA gene". Lineage: Eukaryota; Fungi; Glomeromycota; Glomeromycetes; Glomerales; Glomeraceae. The record is from RNAcentral.
CCCAACUAUCCCUAUUAAUCAUUACAUCGAUCCUAGAAACCAACAAAAUAGAAUCAAAACGUCCUAUUUCAUUAUUCCAUGCUAAUGUAUUCAAGCGUAAGCCUGCUUUAAACACUCUAAUUUUUUCAAAGUAACAGUCCUGAUUCCCCAUGACACCAAAUUAAUGACAUCAUGGUUCGUCAGAAGGGAGAAAUCAAUAAGCUAGUACGUACCAAAGGCACGACCAACAUAUUGAUCCCGAAAUUCAACUACGAGCUUUUUAACUGCAACAACUUUAAUAUACGCUAUUGGAGCUGGAAUUACCGCGGCUGCUGGCACCAGACUUGCCCUCCA